CUAGCGACUUCAGAGUUUGAUCCUGGCUCGAGGACGAACGCUGGCGGCGUGCCUAACACAUGCAAGUCGAACGGAGUUAUCCUUCGGGGUAACUUAGUGGCGGACGGGUGAGUAACGCGUGAGGAAUCUGCCUUUCAGUGGGGGACAACAGUUGGAAACGACUGCUAAUACCGCAUAAUGUUAUUUGGGGGCAUCCCCGAAUAACCAAAGAUUUAUUGCUGAAAGAUGACCUCGCGUCUGAUUAGAUAGUUGGUGAGGUAACGGCUCACCAAGUCGACGAUCAGUAGCCGGACUGAGAGGUUGAACGGCCACAUUGGGACUGAGAUACGGCCCAG
RNAcentral lists this ribosomal RNA (335 nucleotides) under uncultured bacterium. RNAcentral describes it as "bacterial SSU rRNA". It matches the Rfam family "Bacterial small subunit ribosomal RNA", at positions 1 to 334 of the family's 1533-position model. The record is from RNAcentral.